GGAUCGAUAGUAGGUCCUUCUGGAUUAAUUAUGUUUCCCCACUCUCUACUCCAUUGGCAAUCCUUCUGGUCUACCCUAGAUUGAUUGCCAUUCACGAACUCGAUACAGAGGAGAAUGACGAUUCUCUUAUUCCUCCUUCUAUUCCACUUU
Nicotiana attenuata is the source of this 150-nucleotide long non-coding RNA. RefSeq lists it as uncharacterized. The record is from RefSeq and is a predicted model, not a curated record. NCBI's taxonomy places the organism in Eukaryota, Viridiplantae, Streptophyta, Magnoliopsida, Solanales, Solanaceae. The transcript is spliced from 3 exons.